Long non-coding RNA from Strigops habroptila (Kakapo), 2946 nucleotides. The record is from Ensembl. Lineage: Eukaryota; Metazoa; Chordata; Aves; Psittaciformes; Psittacidae.
GGAGUCAAAAACCACAGAUAGUCCCUUGGGUCCGGGUGUGGGUUCGUGGUUAGGGCAGGCUGGCCUGUGUCAGUGAGAGCCCCCUGGAUGCUCUGAGAGCCGAGCUGCCUGCAUGGGGCCAUGGUGCACCCAAAUACUUGUGGCGGCCUGUGAGGAACUACUUCUGAGCCUAAGCCCUGUUUGCUGAAAAGGUGCUAGUGUAGGUUUGAUGGCAUCAAGCUUUGCAGGACUUCCUCUGCAGACUGAAGAUGCCAGCCUCCGUUGUGCACAUUUCAUUUUCAGUUAUUUUCUACUAAAUUGCAUAUCCAUAGCACUUGGCAAGCUUAAAAAAACCAUUUGAGGCAUGUAGAAGACUUACAGACUUCAUUGCGUCGGUACGUGCCAUGCUGAUGGUAUCUUACUCUGAUGUGUCCUUUUGCCACACAUGAAACUCUUCAGCUACCUUCAGAAGAGUUCUAGAACUCCAGUUCUGAAGGCAGCUUUGGUGACUGCAAAACAAGAUCCUGGUGCUUUGCCAGGUGGCCAGUGUUCACAUCCUCAUUGGAAAUGUGGCCCCACUCAUGUGGUGCUCAUGAGAAGGCUGAUCGUGGAAGCUAGAGGUGAGGAUUGUUCUGUGACCCUGCUCUCUGUCCUCUUUAGAAAUUAUUCUGUUGGCUUUCCUUCAGGUGUUUUCCAGAACUUUGUCUGGUUUUUCAGUGUAUCUUGCUACUGACAAUUUACUUUUUGUCUUAUUCAAGCUGGAUCUAACCAAGUUCUAGUUGUUCUAAAAGUCUGUCUUCUGUAGGAUGCAUGAGCUUUCUGAUGAUAAACAACAGGUUAUUGAUCCCGUUAGUUAAACUGAUGUAAAUCCAGUGAAGAGGUAAGCAGGAAAGCUGGGAGUUCUCCUGAGGCUCCUACUGUUGGAAGCACAACGUGUGAUCUGGUAACUGGAUGUGGAUUUCUGGGAAGACAGUAUAAAAUUAAACAUAAGAACAAUGCAUUUGGCCAAGAUGCAGCAUUAGACCCAGAUCCACUGAGUUUCCUGGUUGCCAUUGGGAACUCCUGCCCGAAGUCCAACAUUUCCUGGUUCAAACUUUUCUCUUUUUGACCCUAAAUCUUUAAAUAGCUUGUGAAUACUGAAAGCUUCCUCUUACUUUCCUAAAACUGCCUCUCAUCUUCCUCUCAGCACAUACACACAGAGCCCAUUUUUCUUAAGUUCCUUCCCUUUCCAUUUAAUGAGUGUGCUAGAGAAAUGUGUGAUCCUUCUAGCUUUUCAUUUUACUUGGUACAGAGGAGAGGUAGCUUAUGUUUGUACAUGGAGACUGAAAAGGAGCCCUAAAGUAAUCUAUUUCUGAUUUCCCAGAAAAGAAAUACCUUAACAGCAUGUUGCGUUUGCAGCAUUUUCUCAUCUAAAAAUAGAGAGUUUAAAAAUAUUUUCGUUUAUCUUGUGAGUCUGUCUGUGAGUUUGUAUGACACUCGACUGCAUUAGCUGUCACCUGAAGUACUCUGCUCCACAUCUCCUUCUGCUGCUGCUCAGACUGGGCUGACCUUUGCUCUCACUGAGUUACUGUUUUCCAGCAGCACUUCUCUUCCUUAGGGCUUUACACUUUCCAUGUUGGUAUUUUUCUCCAAAGUCCUUUGUCUGCUAUGACUGACUCCAUGACUUCACUCUCUUUGUCAUUGCUCUUCUUUAUCUCGUAUGGCUGUAGAUUACAUACAGCCUCACAGCUCAACUUCUGUUUGCUUUUUUAUUCUGUUCUUCUGUAAAGCUGAGCCAAGGACACAGCUUGUGCUUCAUAGAGCUGGGCCCUGGUUACAGUCGCUGGCUCUGGGGAGGAUGCCUGUGCAGUGCAGUGCAGUGUGGCCCCUCUCCUGCUGUCAGUCAGUCACUGCUGUGCCCAGGAUGGCACCCGCUAAGGCAGGGAUCUGAAUUACAGCUUAUGGUGUUAAUGCUGACCUUGAAAACAAAACCCAGAAAUAACAAUGGAAAAUGUCACCAUCUCUUGCCAAGCUUCAUCACAUCGAAAAACUAUUUCAAAAUUCUGGCUUUUCUAGGAAAAAAAACAAACCAAACCCCAAAGGUGUAAGAGAAUACCAUAGAAAUUCUUUUAAUUUGCUAUUAAUACAAGACUGGAGAUGCACCUUUUUGGUGGUGCUGGGGUUUUGGUGGUUUGUUUUGGUUAUUUGGGGGGUUUUUGUUAGAUCCAAGAGUAAAUGGCUUGUUCUGAAGAUGUUUUUCUGCCUUAAAACUGCAAAUGCAAAAAUGCUGAAUAUUCAGUGUAUUGGCUUGAGACUCACUGAAGCUGGAAGAUUUUUUAGUCAAGUCUUUCUCUAGUUCACCCUUCAUUGCCAUAGCUAGUACUUUAAAGGAAAUUUUGACUAAAAGAUCUUUCUAUGUUCUUGGAAGUGUUAAAGCUCACAAAUACUCUUAACAUGUAGUUGAGACAUCAUAGACUCAAGAGCUCAAACUUUAGACUUUUUAAUGCAUUCUGUGGUUUUGCAAAGCGUUUUGUUAGUUUUUGUACAUGUAUAUACUGUUGCAGGCUUUUUAAUCAGGUAUGCCACAGAUGUGGAGGGAACACAAGCUUCCGCAGGCCAGCUACAUGCUCAGAAAUACUUAAAUGCCUGUUGUUGAUGCCGCUAUAGCUACGUGUUCUGAUUUUGUGUUCGCUCUCACAUGCAGCAUAAGUGCAGCACUCCAGACAAAAGCGGAGGGAUUAAGGAAAAAAAAAAACUUGUGGUCAUUUCUUAAGCAUUCUUUUGGAGCUAAACUUAAUUUACAAACUUUGAGCAUAUGUUUGGUAUUUUGGGAGAGCUGUAUUAAGCUGUUUUCACAGCUGACAUGGUGACAUUUCUCUUAAGUGUAACACGCUGUUGUUCCAGCAUGGCAAAGGUCUGCAUAAUUCAUGUGUGCUCAACUUAAUCACUGGUUUUCUUCUUGUGACAAUAAAUGGCAUUGUACCAAAA